CAUCCCUGCUCCGGCUCUCCGCCUCUGCCACAGACGUGCCGCACCGAGACAUGGAGCGCUUGCUACAUGGUAUCACAUACUGACGUCUAAUAUUUUCUCUGCAUGGUUUGCAGAUAGAGACUGAUAUAGAUGAUGACCAGAUCUUAAAUUGAGAGAGCAACGGGUAGAUAGGAAGGGUGCCAACAAGUUCAAGAAAUGAUGGCAAGAAGAGAGGAAGCUGACAAGCAUACACUACAACACCAAAGAAAAGCAAUGAAGUAAAACAAAGCUUAGUGCCCACAUUUCAUUGGGCCGACUGCCGAGACUCCAGCCCCUGAUUAUCUAAAGCAGCUCAGGAAGACUGGUUAUGCACAGUACCCACUGCCACCACUAUGUAUAUUUGCCAGUUAUGUACUUUUGUACGACAGAGGUUACUGAAAUUUGCUCAUCCUCUAUUUCCUAGCAGUCACCCAUCGCCAAAAACUGGAGCUAGCUACUAGCACACACCUCCAGCUCUCCAAACAAAACUAUUCUCCGUUUAAAACAAGCGGCCAUACUUGAUACGGACAAUCAUGUGACCACCAGCCAGUGUCCCUUCAUGUUCAGUCCAGAAGAAACAUGUAUCCAUGCCGUCUUCCUCAUCAUUAUCCUUCAUGUAAUCCAAUAUAAAAUAGGACGAUGGAGGUCUUCCUGGCUUUGUUGAGGGGGGCAAACAAGGAUUCGAUAAGAGGACACUGAUUCCCCAUUGGACGAUGAAGCACACGACUCUUUCUUCACCAAAGGCCAACAACUCACCAUCUUCUCCCGCAACAACGAGGACACCAAUGCGAAGCACUGAUGAAUGGGUACUAGGGAACAUCAGCACUACCAGUCUUACCAUCCUACUUUGCUACUUCUUCCAAGCUUUGGUAACCAAGAAUAUGUCAAUGGUUAUGUUCAAGUAGAAACUCAUGUAUUUUCCAUGUAUCCUAUAUGUAAAAUGA
Lolium rigidum is the source of this 962-nucleotide long non-coding RNA. RefSeq lists it as uncharacterized. The transcript is spliced from 4 exons. The record is from RefSeq and is a predicted model, not a curated record. NCBI's taxonomy places the organism in Eukaryota, Viridiplantae, Streptophyta, Magnoliopsida, Poales, Poaceae.